This 250-nucleotide ribosomal RNA is filed under the name uncultured bacterium. RNAcentral describes it as "partial 16S ribosomal RNA". It matches the Rfam family "Bacterial small subunit ribosomal RNA", at positions 524 to 773 of the family's 1533-position model. The record is from RNAcentral.
UACAGAGGGUGCGAGCGUUGUCCGGAAUCACUGGGCGUAAAGGGCGCGUAGGCGGUGGCGUAAGCGUGCGGUGAAAGCUCGGGGCUCAACCCCGAGUCGGCCGUGCGAACUGGGCCACUGGAGCAGAUCAGAGGCAGGCGGAAUUCCGGGUGUAGCGGUGGAAUGCGUAGAGAUCCGGAAGAACACCGGUGGCGAAGGCGGCCUGCUGGGAUCUUGCUGACGCUGAGGCGCGACAGCGUGGGGAGCAAAC